Molecule: long non-coding RNA, 1389 nt
Organism: Anopheles merus
Lineage: Eukaryota; Metazoa; Arthropoda; Insecta; Diptera; Culicidae
Exons: 3
Source: RefSeq, a predicted model, not a curated record
UUGUGUCAGUUUCAAUUGGUGUUGUUUUCAUUUAUGGCGGUUUGUUUACAUUUCGUUGCGGUUAUCAUCAGUUCCCGUGGUUCGAUAUUCGGUCGAGCUUUCUUUUCGUCAACCUCAUCGUGACGAUCGUGGUGCUCGGUGGACUGUUGGCAACGAUCGAAAAGCAUCUGCCCACUGCCAUCCGGCAGACGUUUGCUGCCCUCUGGUCGGUGGCCGGAUUUGCCGUCAUGAUGUAGCCAGCGCGGGACUACGUAAUCGCCUUCCUCGAUACGUUGGCAACCAACAAGCGUAUGGUGCGCACCACGCCUACCGAGACGAUGGCAUGACGGCAUGCCAUGACGCUGAUCACGCUGCAGUGUUUGCGCCGGUUCCACAAGACCUGGUUCGUGCAGGUGUUCUCGAGCAAGCUGAAAAUCACCCACCAGUUGUACGUGGAACACUUUCACAACUAUCCGAAGCAAGCUCGUCAGGAAAACACUCGUCCCGUUCGUUCUGUGAGAUCGACGGUGAGGGUGCGGAUAAUAUCGUUCCGGUUGUUGGGCUUUUUUUAGGAUCGAAAAAAUGGUAUGGUUGGUGUCCGGCUUUUUUUAGGUUGCUGGUUCCCGGCUGAUGGGAUUCAGCUGGUUUUCCUGGAUCUUCUGUGAAUGCCUUGUUCCACGGACCGGUCGUCGAUGCACUCGAGGUGCACCGCAUUGACGAGCGGCAGUAGCAGGAUGCAAUCGGCGCGGCCGAGCUGGCAGCGAAGCCGGUUCUCGGUGAGCCAUUCACGCCGAAUGAGGGCGGUCAAGAGCCGGCUGCAUACGUUCGAUAUAUUCGCUACGCGCACGAUCAAACUGUGUAACGAUGCCGAGUGUGUCCGGCCAUCGCGACUAGGAAGUUAAGUUGCGUCGUCUAUUGUGACACCUUUUCAUCAACAACUGGCAUGACUAUCGGCGCACGGUCGGUGGCUCUAGCGAAGGGGAGGGUGCGUUCCAAUCGGCUGGCAGGACACAGAUCGGAUCGGUUAGGACAACGAUCGGCAUAGUACGGCUCGCGACCCGCAUGUGGCUAUUUGUUGACUAGUUGCCUCUUCAAGUGCAAAUCUACGAACAUGUUUAGAAGAUUUGGCUCUUUCGGUCGCAACGUUUGCGGAGUCGCUGGGGAUAUUGGAUUGUAAGGAAUGAAUAUACUGUCCGCAGGAACCAGAUGAUGACAUCACCAAGGAGCUAAUGCGCUAAAGCUUACCAGGAGGAGGCGAGAAUGGUUUGAUGUUUUUGGCACAGCUCCCACGUAUCAUCCAUACCACACCAAAUCAUUAUGGCGCAGCCGUGAAUAUGUACAACGUCAUCCUGCUCGGGUAGGAUGGUGACGGUCUCCCGCUCGGUAUAUCUUGACGGCAGUAUAACGCAA